RNAcentral lists this ribosomal RNA (492 nucleotides) under uncultured bacterium. RNAcentral's name for it is "partial 16S ribosomal RNA". It matches the Rfam family "Bacterial small subunit ribosomal RNA", at positions 29 to 507 of the family's 1533-position model. The record is from RNAcentral.
AGUGAACGCUGGCGGUAGGCCUAACACAUGCAAGUCGAACGGCAACACAGUAAUAGCUUGCUCUUACCGGUUGCGGGUGGCGGACGGAUGAGGAAUACAUCGUGAUCUACUUUUUCGUGUGAGUUAACGUAGGGAAACUUACGCUAAUACCGCAGACGACCUACGGUUGAAAGCAUGGGAUCUUCUGACCUUGCGCGGUUGAAUGCGCCGAUGUCGGAGUAGCUAGUUGGCGGGGUAAAGGCCCACGAAGUCGAGGAUCCGUAGCUGGUCUGAGAGGCUGAUCAGCGACAUUGGAACUUAGACACGGUCAAGACUCCUACGGGAGGCCGCAGUGGGGAACAUUGGACAAUGGGCGCAAGUCUGAUACAGUCAUCCCGCGCGGGUGAAGACGGCCUUCGGGUUGGAAUGACGUUCUGUUGGGAAAGAAAAGCAGCAGGUUAAUACCAAGCUGUUCUGACGGUAACCAAAGAAUAAGCACCGGCUAACUUCGUG